This 155-nucleotide unclassified non-coding RNA is filed under the name soil metagenome. RNAcentral's name for it is "partial internal transcribed spacer 1". The record is from RNAcentral.
UUAGGUGUCUCCGGACUCCAAACCCACUGUGAAUCAUACCUAUUUUAGUUGCUUCGGCGGGUGGCCCCAGGGCGGGACCGCUUCAAGCCCGCCGGAGGACGCCUAAACUCUGUUACUCUGUAUUACUCUGAGAAACAAAAAAAAAAAAACUUUUA